This 776-nucleotide ribosomal RNA is filed under the name Microvirga sp. RNAcentral describes it as "bacterial SSU rRNA". It matches the Rfam family "Bacterial small subunit ribosomal RNA", at positions 83 to 895 of the family's 1533-position model. The record is from RNAcentral. Lineage: Bacteria; Pseudomonadati; Pseudomonadota; Alphaproteobacteria; Hyphomicrobiales; Methylobacteriaceae.
CCUUCGGGGUGAGUGGCAGACGGGUGAGUAACGCGUGGGAACGUGCCCUUCAGUUCGGAAUAACCCAGGGAAACUUGGGCUAAUACCGGAUACGUGCGAGAGCAGAAAGAUUUAUCGCUGAAGGAUCGGCCCGCGUCUGAUUAGCUGGUUGGUGGGGUAAUGGCCCACCAAGGCGACGAUCAGUAGCUGGUCUGAGAGGAUGAUCAGCCACAUUGGGACUGAGACACGGCCCAAACUCCUACGGGAGGCAGCAGUGGGGAAUAUUGGACAAUGGGCGCAAGCCUGAUCCAGCCAUGCCGCGUGAGUGAUGAAGGCCUUAGGGUUGUAAAGCUCUUUCGUCCGGGACGAUAAUGACGGUACCGGAAGAAGAAGCCCCGGCUAACUUCGUGCCAGCAGCCGCGGUAAUACGAAGGGGGCUAGCGUUGUUCGGAAUCACUGGGCGUAAAGGGCGCGUAGGCGGCUUUGUAAGUCGGGGGUGAAAGCCUGUGGCUCAACCACAGAAUUGCCUUCGAUACUGCAUGGCUUGAGACCGGAAGAGGUUAGUGGAACUGCGAGUGUAGAGGUGAAAUUCGUAGAUAUUCGCAAGAACACCAGUGGCGAAGGCGGCUGACUGGUCCGGAUCUGACGCUGAGGCGCGAAAGCGUGGGGAGCAAACAGGAUUAGAUACCCUGGUAGUCCACGCCGUAAACGAUGAAUGCCAGCCGUUGGCGAGCUUGCUCGUCAGUGGCGCAGCUAACGCUUUAAGCAUUCCGCCUGGGGAGUACGGUCGCAAGAUU